Molecule: ribosomal RNA, 584 nt
Filed under: uncultured bacterium
Lineage: Bacteria
Description: partial 16S ribosomal RNA
Rfam family: Bacterial small subunit ribosomal RNA
Source: RNAcentral
UGGGGAAUUUUGGACAAUGGGCGAAAGCCUGAUCCAGCAAUGCCGCGUGUGUGAAGAAGGCCUUCGGGUUGUAAAGCACUUUUGUCCGGAAAGAAAUCCUUGGCUCUAAUACAGUCGGGGGAUGACGGUACCGGAAGAAUAAGCACCGGCUAACUACGUGCCAGCAGCCGCGGUAAUACGUAGGGUGCAAGCGUUAAUCGGAAUUACUGGGCGUAAAGCGUGCGCAGGCGGUUUGCUAAGACCGAUGUGAAAUCCCCGGGCUCAACCUGGGAACUGCAUUGGUGACUGGCAGGCUAGAGUAUGGCAGAGGGGGGUAGAAUUCCACGUGUAGCAGUGAAAUGCGUAGAGAUGUGGAGGAAUACCGAUGGCGAAGGCAGCCCCCUGGGCCAAUACUGACGCUCAUGCACGAAAGCGUGGGGAGCAAACAGGAUUAGAUACCCUGGUAGUCCACGCCCUAAACGAUGUCAACUAGUUGUGGGGAUUCAUUCCUUAGUAACGUAGCUAACGCGUGAAGUUGACCGCCUGGGGGAGUACGGUCGCAAGAUUAAAACUCAAAGGAAUUGACGGGGUCAUAGCUGUUUCCU